AUCCAGCUAACGUAUCCCAAAUAGGACGAAAUGCACAUCUUAGAU
Molecule: non-coding RNA, 45 nt
Filed under: Schistosoma margrebowiei
Lineage: Eukaryota; Metazoa; Platyhelminthes; Trematoda; Strigeidida; Schistosomatidae
Source: RNAcentral